CGCCAUAGAACAGCUUUUUGGUCGCUCAUGCAACAUCUUGGGUUGCAACAUCGAUAGUUACUAGGACUAGGACUCUAUGACUAGUUUGUACUAUCCUACUCGUAUUUUCUGUUUUAAUUAAAUUAUCACCUAUAAAUUAAAUAUAAAUGUAAUGAAAACAUAUCGAUAGUUAAUGAUAUCGCACUAUCGGCAGUCGAUAGUACCACUAACCAUACAGUAUA
Molecule: long non-coding RNA, 221 nt
Organism: Drosophila miranda
Lineage: Eukaryota; Metazoa; Arthropoda; Insecta; Diptera; Drosophilidae
Exons: 2
Source: RefSeq, a predicted model, not a curated record